RNAcentral lists this ribosomal RNA (459 nucleotides) under uncultured bacterium. Its description in RNAcentral is "partial 16S ribosomal RNA". It matches the Rfam family "Bacterial small subunit ribosomal RNA", at positions 338 to 795 of the family's 1533-position model. The record is from RNAcentral.
CCUACGGGUGGCAGCAGUGAGGAAUAUUGGUCAAUGGGCGUAAGCCUGAACCAGCCAAGUCGCGUGAGGGAAGACGGUCCUAUGGGUUGUAAACCUCUUUUGUCAGGGAGCAAUGCCGGCCACGCGUGGCCGGACUGAGAGUACCCGCGGAAAAAGCAUCGGCUAACUCCUGCCAGCAGCCGCGGUAAUACGGAGGAUUCGGGCGUUAUCCGGAUUUAUUGGGGUUAAAGGGUGCGUAGGCGGAUUUUCAAGUCCGCGGUAAAAUGCGGGGGCUCAACCUGGGCCUGGCGUGGAAACUGGCGUUCUUGAGUGGGCGAGAAGUAUGCGGAAUGCGUGGUGUAGCGGUGAAAUGCAUAGAUAUCACGCAGAACUCCGAUUGCGAAGGCAGCAUACCGGCGCCCGACUGACGCUGAGGCACGAAAGCGUGGGGAUCGAACAGGAUUAGAUACCCCAGUAGUC